GACGAACGCUGGCGGCGUGCCUAAUACAUGCAAGUCGAGCGGACUUUCAAGAAGCUUGCUUUUUGAAAGUUAGCGGCGGACGGGUGAGUAACACGUGGGCAACCUGCCUGCAAGACGGGGAUAACUCCGGGAAACCGGGGCUAAUACCGGAUAAUAUCUUCCUUCGCAUGAAGGAAGGUUGAAAGGCGGCGCAAGCUGCCGCUUGCAGAUGGGCCCGCGGCGCAUUAGCUAGUUGGUGAGGUAACGGCUCACCAAGGCGACGAUGCGUAGCCGACCUGAGAUGGUGAUCGGCCACACUGGGACUGAGACACGGCCCAGACUCCUACGGGAGGCAGCAGUAGGGAAUCUUCCGCAAUGGGCGAAAGUCUGACGGAGCAACGCCGCGUGAGCGAAGAAGGUCUUCGGAUCGGAAAGCUCUGUUGUCAGGGAAGAACAAGUACCGUUCGAACAGGGCGGUACCUUGACGGUACCUGACCAGAAAGCCACGGCUAACUACGUG
This 499-nucleotide ribosomal RNA is filed under the name uncultured bacterium. RNAcentral describes it as "partial 16S ribosomal RNA". It matches the Rfam family "Bacterial small subunit ribosomal RNA", at positions 28 to 507 of the family's 1533-position model. The record is from RNAcentral.